ACGAACGCUGGCGGCUUGCUUAACACAUGCAAGUCGAACGGAAAGGCCCUGCUUUUGUGGGGUACUCGAGUGGCGAACGGGUGAGUAACACGUGAGUAACCUGCCCUUGACUUUGGGAUAACCUCAGGAAACUGGGGCUAAUACCGGAUAGGAGCUCCUGCUGCAUGGUGGGGGUUGGAAAGUUUCGGCGGUUGGGGAUGGACUCGCGGCUUAUCAGCUUGUUGGUGGGGUAGUGGCUUACCAAGGCUUUGACGGGUAGCCGGCCUGAGAGGGUGACCGGCCACAUUGGGACUGAGAUACGGCCCAGACUCCUACGGGAGGCAGCAGUGGGGAAUAUUGCACAAUGGGCGGAAGCCUGAUGCAGCAACGCCGCGUGCGGGAUGACGGCCUUCGGGUUGUAAACCGCUUUCGCCUGUGACGAAGCGUGAGUGACGGUAAUGGGUAAAGAAGCACCGGCUAACUACGUG
Molecule: ribosomal RNA, 467 nt
Filed under: uncultured bacterium
Lineage: Bacteria
Description: partial 16S ribosomal RNA
Rfam family: Bacterial small subunit ribosomal RNA
Source: RNAcentral